CCCAGACUCCUACGGGAGGCAGCAGUGGGGGAUAUUGCACAAUGGGGGAAACCCUGAUGCAGCAACGCCGCGUGAGUGAAGAAGUAUUUCGGUAUGUAAAGCUCUAUCAGCAGGGAAGAGAAUGACGGUACCUGACUAAGAAGCCCCGGCUAACUACGUGCCAGCAGCCGCGGUAAUACGUAGGGGGCGAGCGUUAUCCGGAUUUACUGGGUGUAAAGGGAGCGUAGACGGCUGGUCAAGUCUGAAGUGAAAGCCCGGGGCUUAACCCCGGAACGGCUUUGGAAACUGAGCAGCUAGAGUGCUGGAGAGGUAAGCGGAAUUCCUAGUGUAGCGGCGAAAUGCGUAGAUAUUAGGAGGAACACCAGUGGCGAAGGCGGCUUACUGGACAGUAACUGACGUUGAGGCUCGAAAGCGUGGGGAGCAAACAGGAUUAGAUACCCGCGUA
Molecule: ribosomal RNA, 445 nt
Filed under: uncultured bacterium
Lineage: Bacteria
Description: bacterial SSU rRNA
Rfam family: Bacterial small subunit ribosomal RNA
Source: RNAcentral